RNAcentral lists this ribosomal RNA (430 nucleotides) under Bacteroidota bacterium. RNAcentral describes it as "Bacteroidetes bacterium partial 16S ribosomal RNA". It matches the Rfam family "Bacterial small subunit ribosomal RNA", at positions 355 to 776 of the family's 1533-position model. Lineage: Bacteria; Pseudomonadati; Bacteroidota. The record is from RNAcentral.
UGGGGAAUCUUCGGCAAUGGGGGGAACCCUGACCGAGCAACGCCGCGUGAGUGAAGAAGGUUUUCGGAUCGUAAAGCUCUGUUGUUAAGGAAGAACGAGUGUGAGAAUGGAAAGUUCAUACUGUGACGGUACUUAACCAGAAAGGGACGGCUAACUACGUGCCAGCAGCCGCGGUAAUACGUAGGUCCCGAGCGUUGUCCGGAUUUAUUGGGCGUAAAGCGAGCGCAGGCGGUCAAUUAAGUCUGAUGUGAAAGCCCCCGGCUCAACCGGGGAGGGUCAUUGGAAACUGGUUGACUUGAGUGCAGAAGAGGAGAGUGGAAUUCCAUGUGUAGCGGUGAAAUGCGUAGAUAUAUGGAGGAACACCAGUGGCGAAGGCGACUCUCUGGUCUGUAACUGACGCUGAGGUUCGAAAGCGUGGGUAGCAAACAGG